Molecule: long non-coding RNA, 13702 nt
Filed under: Marmota monax (woodchuck)
Lineage: Eukaryota; Metazoa; Chordata; Mammalia; Rodentia; Sciuridae
Source: RNAcentral
GGGACUGGCUCCAACCAGGCGUCUGUUCAUUUACUGCUGCUGCCGGGCAGUGGGCAGGCUGCGGGGAGGGUGAAGGAGCAAGAGUCUCUCUCUCUCUCUCUCUCUCUCUCUCUCUCUCUCUCUCUCUCUCUCUCUCACACACACACACACACACACACACACACAGUGCAUUGUUGAGAAGAGGGCAUUCAGAGUGAAAAAUACAGCAUCAGCAAGGGCUUACAAGCACAGGAAUGAUCUGAAAAUGGCCAGGAAACUCAGGUCACGGAGACAGGAGUUUUCCGUGCUGGGGACCUGACAACACUUUGAUUCUAUUGGCAGUUCCCCAUGCUCAAGGUCCCCAUGCUCAGAUGAAAUGACUCAGAUGAGAUGACAGAGCCGUGGAAUCCACCAGCGAGGCUAAACCUUGACAUGAACUUGAAACGUUUUUCUGUCCGACUCUCCCCCACAGACUGAGGAGCGUCAAGAUGGAGCAGAGGAAGCUGAGUGACCAGGCCAACACCCUGGUGGACCUGUCCAAGGUGAGUGGCGGAGUCCAGAGACAUCCUGGAGCUCCAAGUUGCUGGCAUUUAGACUUCUCAGGUGCAUCUGGGAAGACCUGGCGAUGUCCAGAGUCCACAGCGCAGGACAGAAAAGCAACAGAUACUCCUCCUUGGUUACAAAAUAAGCAAGAUUUAAGUUUUGGACGUUUGCAGCCCACCUGUAGGGGGUUUUGUUUGUUUGUUUUUGGUCCAGGGGUUAAACCCAGGGGCACUUACCCACCAAGCCAUAUCCCCAGCCCUUUUUAUACAUUAUUCUGAGAUAGGGUCUUGCUAAGUUGCUGAGGCUGGCUUUGAACUUGUGAUCUCCUGCCUCAGCCCCCUGAGCCACUGAGAUUACAGGCCCCACGCCACGGCACCCAGUCAUCUUCUUGACUUUUAAAGCUUGCUGUCUGUUUCUUAAAAGGCUCAGGUUUGUCUAAUUAGCUGACCUGCUAAGUCUUUUCUGUGGGUUGUUUUAGUAGCUGCCGUUGAGGGGCUCCUAAGAAAGAGUUCAGGUCACCCAGGGGCAAGACAUGUUAACGAGAACCAAAUAGGUGUAAUGGCCUGGGUCACACCUAAGACCUUUCCAGCGUUCUGUUAUUAUUGGGGACUCAUUUCCCUGCAUCUUCCAAUCUUUACAGUCCAGUUUUUCUUGCCCCAAAUUGGUGGUACAUUUCUCUAUUUCCCAAGAUGCAAUCAACGGUGAACAUGAAGAUUCCCCCUAAAAAAGAGAGCCCUCUUUUGAGAGCUCAAGGCCUUAAGGCUUGAUAUCACAUUGCCAUUCCAUGUUUCAGACACUGAACUGCUGUAAAAUACUGUGAAGAAGCUCCCUCUUGCAUUUCACCAAAGUAGAGAAAGCAAGGCCCCACGUGGGCAGAGCUGGGAGCAUGCACCAUUGUAGACGGGUCCCCCUAACCCCCCUCCCACUGCCUUCUGAUAGGAAUUGUACACCAAGGGUACCGCCCAGGGCCAGGCUGGCAGAACAUUCCAGCAGAUGCCAAUUAUCAUAAUGGAACACAUUCCCUGGGAGAGCAAGAGAGACUCCCUUGGGCAAAUUAACCACCUUUUUUAAAGGGGGUGCAAUCAGAAAUGACUGGUUGUUGGGCCACGGGCAGGCACCUUGUUCAAUAGAGGGAUCAGGCCAAAGAAAAGACCUCCUGAGCCUGCAAGGGCUUCAAUCAGAGAGUAAGUGACUUGGCACAGCUGGGGAGAAGUCGACAGGGCUGCGGACCUCUGGGGGGGGGGUCAGGUGGAGUGGGGGAUUCCUGAGAGGCUGGGUAUGGGGAGGAAGAUAACAGAACAGUGAUGUGCAGGAGAGAACAGCACCCCCAGGGGGAUGUGUUGGUUAAUACUCUUGGGUUCUAGGGUUGGGAUUGUAGGUCAGUGGUAGAGUGCUUGCCUCGCAUGCAUGAGGCCCUGGGUUUGAUCCUCAGAACCACAUAGAAAUAAACAAAUAAAAAUAUAUUGUGUCCAUCUACAACUAAAAAAAAUUUUUUAAAAAGUACCUUGAGUUCAAAUAUUAGAAACCAAACCCAUUGAAACUAAGUUGAAAACUGGAAGAAUUUACUCUAAGGAUGUAAGAACCUCAAAGCAGGCAUGUGAUCAGAGAGGAACUGACUAGAACCAUACCUGGAAAGCUCUUGGGGGGCAUCUCCUUAUGCCAUCUUUGUGUGUGUGUGUGUGUGUGUGUGUGUGCUGGGGAUUGAACCCAGGGCCUUGUGCGUGCUAGGUAAGCACUCUACCAACUGAACUACACCUCAGCCCAAUACCAUCUCUUGACUCUAUCUAUUCAAGGGUCUCUUUUCAAUUCUGUCUCUCUCUUUCAUUCCACCUCCUACCUCCAUGGCAGACUACGGCAGGCCACCAAUUCAGACAGUCUGUGUUAUAGUCUUAGCCACAGGUAAAGAUCAAGUAGCCUCCUAUUUGUCUUAAGUCUGAAUUCUCAGAAGAGAUGCUGAUUGGCCAGUUUGAGUCAUGUGCUCACCUUGCACCCAUCAACCAUGGUCAGGAGGAGGAUGGAGUCAGGCCAGCCUACUCUGUGAGCCUCAGGAAUAGUCCAGUGAGAUUCCCCAGGACGUUCCUUCUGGGAGCAGCAAUGUCACCCAACUCGCCUCUUACCUGGAAGGACACACUGUGACUGAUCUCCUCCAGGAAUAUUAGGUAAACCAGCUUCGAAGCCUGCCUUUCUGCAGUGCCGCCUACAGCCACCCUACAGAGGGAUGGGGCCCACGAGCAGACCGUGGGAAGCACAAACCCCAGUGAGUUAGAAAGAUGCUCUUUUGAAUUCAUAACCUGGAGAGCAAGUUACCUGGAAAAGAGAGCCCUCAGGAAAGAGUUAGGGGGAGAAUCUGCAGUGUGUGUGUGUGUGUGUGUGUGUGUGUAUGUGUGUGUGGGGGGGGGAAUGCCCAGAAGGCCUGGGGAGGAGGUGGAUCGACAUCCAUCCAGUCUUUGUCUUUUCCUCCCAGGAGAUGCCCAAGGUCCUGGCAGCAGCUUAGCAUAUUUCACAUUGGUCGGUGUUUGCCCUGGCAUCCUGUCACCAAGCAACGGAACAGGGGAGGGCAAUCUGAUGCUGUGCUGGCUCCCCUUUCUUUCUUUGUGCUUCACCCCCAUCCCCCGACUCACCACCUUCACAGCCCUGCCCUUCAGGCCUCCCGAGAUUAAAGAUGUGCUGCGCGGCCUCCAAAUCUUAUUUCCUAUAUUGAAUAGCUACCUUAUACAGAGACAGAGCCUGGGAGGGCCUGGACUCUUUACCCGAUUGCUUUAAUUUCUUCCAUUGAAAUGUAAAAAUAAUUCCUACCAUCUGAAGCUCAGGUGAUCAAAUAAGGUAAUACCUGUAAAAAUGCUGUGUAAACUCUAAAGGUUUUGCAAAUGGUAGUGCCGAUUCUGAAUGUAGAUGAGGAAACCAGGAUCUAAGAAACAAAGCAGCUGUCCCAAGGUCAGGCGGGGUGCCAGGGCUGGGGCUGAAACCCAGGGGCUUGGACUGUGAGUCCAGAGCUCAUCAGGGCGCCCCAGCGGUCACAGGCAUCAGUGGUUUGUAUAUUCUGGGAAGAAAAUGCACACUGAGAAGGUUCUGUGAAUGUUAAUUAAUGGGGGAAGUACUUUCACUUCUAAAGUUGCCCUUUCCUCUGAGGGCGUCAGGGAUACAGUGUCCUGCUCCGGCAGGGGCAUCGCUAACUGAGAGAAAAGCUGUCUUCAUGCCACCAAGGGCAGCCCCUCCCUGUGCAGCCUGGCAAACUCCAACCUGGCAAGGGUUCACUGCAUUUCCAAUCCCCUCUCCCCACUGGCUCAUCAUAUUAUGCCACCUUCUUUAACUCCUCUGUUUUUCUCUCCCCUUGUUUCCUACUCCUUGGGCCCCUGGGGGCACCAGUCGUUUCUACCUCCUUCUGGAGUAACCAGACACAAAAGGUGAAAUAGGAUCCGGGCAUCACUGGCAGGUCACCAGAAUCCCAAAGAGCCUGAACCCCUGGGGGAGGGGGGGAUUGUGGGAGGGGUGACACUGCCAGCCUGGCCAUCUGCCAUUGCUGCCACAGGAACCUUAUUCCUGAACACCUGGAAGUGUGAAGACUCUUGGGAAUCUUGCUCCCAAGUCGGAUGUCCAGAGCGAGGACAGCAUUUGUUAUUUGCAGGAUGAAAUAUGGCUGUCACGUAGACUAGACUAACAUGGGCCAUGGGGUAGCUGGGGAAGGAACGCUGGGAACUGGUGGGGUCCUUGGAACACUGGGAGACAGUCUUGGGUGCAGAAGGGCUACUGGGGAGCAGUACCCAGGUGGAAAGGCCCUUCAGGGACGUCCCCAAACAGGAACACUGACUGGGUCUUUGUGUCCCCUCCUGGGCUGGCUGGGGAAGGGCCAGCCCUCAGAUGGUGGCUCCUUUUAUAAGGAAACCAAGGUUGAGAGAGGUUAAGUGGCCAGAGGUUGCCGUGUUCCUGAGCUGCAUUCUUGCACUUGAACCCUGGCCUGCUAAUCGUAAAACUAUGACAACAGCCGUUUCCAUUUCUGCGUCCUCUCUUCAGUCAUUAAAUGCCAGCAGCCACAGAAGCUGAGAGCGUGGGUCUCUGUAAGAAUAUGGGGACAGUUUAGAGGUGCACUCCGUCUAAGGGGGAAGAAAAGUGCUAUUUCUUUUCCUUCGUAUGUAUUUUCUAUUAAAAAUUUAUAAUUAGCUGCCAGGCACAGAGGCGCACAUCUGUAAUCCCAGGAAAUCUGGAAGCUGAGGCGGAAAGAUCUCAAGUUUGCUGCCCAGCCUGGACAAGUUGGUGAGACCCUGUCUCAAAAUAGGAAAUGAAAAGAGCUGGGGAUGUAGCUCAGUGGUAGAGCACCUCUGGGUCCAAUCCCCAGCUCCCCAGUACAGGGACACACACACACACACACACACAAUUAAUGCUCAUUACUGUUGCAAUAGGGAACAAAUGUGCCCACCCCAGCCUUCCCAUCGGCUGGAAGGAACCGGUUUCUCCUUCCUUGGCCACGUCAGAGACGGCUGGGGUGCAGGCCACUCCUGCCGCAAGGUGCGGGCGUCCCCCUUGUCCCAGGGCCGUUCCUCCGUGCCCACGGCCAUGUCCCCCCUCUGGUUCUCUCUCCGCACAGAUGCAGAAUGUCAUGUACGACUUGAUCACGGAGCUCAACGACCGCAGCGAGGACCUGGAGAAGCAGAUCGGCAGCCUGGAGAGUAAGCUGGAGCACCUCACGGCCAGCUUCAACUCCCUGCCCCUGCUCAUCGCAGACACCCUGCGCCAGCAGCAGCAGCAGCUCCUGACGGCCAUCCUGGAGGCCCGGGGCGUCAGCGUGGCCGUGGGCACCACGCACGCCCCGCUCUCCGACAGCCCGAUCGGGGUCAGCUCCACCUCCUUCCCGACCCCGUACACGAGUUCAAGCAGUUGCUAAAUAAAACUCCCCUCUCCGGAAGCGUUACCCAUAGGUCUUAAGAUGCAGAUCCACUCUGUCCUGGUCGCUUUGCCAUCGCGGAACUCGGAGACCAGGGAGCGGAAAGAAGAGACGGAGCUCACUAGCUGACUCGGCCCACUCGUGCUUGGUUCGAAAUGCCUUGAAACCAGAAAUCUAAUCUCUGUUUAGGUGCCUCUACUUGGGAGCGGGACGAGGAGAGGACAGGAAGCGACGCCUCUGGCGGGGCCCUUGCUGCAGAGUUGGUGGAGAACAGAAUCCACGCUCAAUCUCAGGUCUUCACGUGGGGGUGGGAGGGGCAGGUGCUCGGAGCAGCCACGGUGAAGCCAGGCCAGAAGAGGGGCCUGGGAGAGGGGUGGGGCAGGCUUGGGGAUGGGUCCCUCGUGGGGACCUAGAGCAUGCCUCUCUCCUUCCGUCUAGAAAGCUUGGGUGACAAAAAGUAAGAGAGCUGCCCACAACUUGCCAAAACAGACAUACCCAGUUUAGACUGAAAAAAAGGUUGAUAAUGAGAACUGCACACACACACACACACACACAAAUACAAAUUAAAAGCCAGAUUUUUCCAUCCAACAUAAAUACCUAUAUAAGCCUGGGUGUUUGCACGUGCGCGCGCACACACACACACAAUUUCCCACACCCCACAUUCAGUCCAAGUCCUUUCUUGUUUGAACUUCACCCAAAUACAAAGGGACCUGAUAUUGUCCCCUGCACACAGUAGGCACUCUCUUAAUGAGUUGAGUGGGUUUGAAUAUGAACACAGGGUAUAUUCAGCCCAGGUAGUUAGGUAGUGUUGGCCACAUCCUGGGCCCCUCUGAAGACACAGGUCCCUUCCAACACAGUGCAGGUUGCUUUGCCCUGGAUACACACCGUGCAUGAUUUGAAGUGGAUGCCAAGCCAAAACUGUUGGCAUUCUGGAGGGGUAAGCAGGCUUCUGAAAAUAACAGCUUUUGCAGGGCUUCCUUCUUACAUCCAAACAAGCUGUUCUGAUGGACUACACACCCGUACUAUGUGAGGGAGGGGGUCCAGAGGAUUAUGCAUGUGUUUGCACAAUGCACCAACAGAUGCAACCCAAUGGCAUCUUGGUGGACAGAAGUAUUGUCUGGGGAUUUGCUGAGCUGUAUUCACCGAGCAGCAUGUUUCCAGCCCCUGACAUUAGAAAUGCAAAGGGUCAAGCACCUCACCUUGGAGCUGCUGAGCUGGGAGGAGAAGGAUAGAGAGUGGCCCACAUGGUCCCUUCUACCUGACCUGAAGUCACCUCAAAAUGAAAUAUUGUGAGAACAAAGGGAGUCUUUAGGGAAUCUUGUGGGUAAGGUAAGAAGAAUAGAUUUGUCAGAAGCCUAUGCAUAUUGUGCCAUGUUAAAUCUCGGUGCAAAAACAAUUUCAAUACAUCACAAAUUCCAAGAGACUCCAGAAACAUCAAGAUGCAGUGUAGUGACAGGAACCAAAUUUUUUUCUUUCAUUUCUCCAUAAUCUGUCCACACACAGUAUUUGUGUCAUGUUAUUCAUCAUUUUCCUCAUUCUGAUGUCCUUGACUUCUACUUGUGGGAAACUAAUGAUACUGUAUGGAAUAUUUCAUCUGUUUAGGGUCAAACAAAAGGGUGUUACUGCAUAGGGGGUUAUCAUUUGUGGUCGGGCUUUGUAACAAGUCAUCUCCAUUCAUAAGGCCAGGCUUUGUGGUGCAAAUUUUUAUUUUUAUUUUUAUUUUGGACUGGGGAUUGAACCCAGGGGUACUCUACCUUGAGCUACAAUCUCAGCCCUUUUUAUUUUUUGAGACAAGGCCUUGCUAAGUUGCUGAGACUGGCUUUGCAUUUGUGAUCUUCCUGUCUCAACCUCUGGAGUCCCUGGGAUCACAGGGGUGCAGCAUGGCUCCUGGUAGUAGAUUUUUCUUCUACAGCACUGGGCCUGGUCUUCUAAGGAUGAGGGAAUCACUAGACUGUAAGGUAGACAAUUCUAGAGCAAAGGCUACUCUUUCAGGAAGAUCUGGGCUCUUGCUAACCUUCUUCUUUUGGGUCUUGCUAUUGCUACCUUCCCCCCCCCCUCCCCAGUGCUGGGGAGGCAACCCAGAGCCUCACACAUUCUAAGCAAAUGCUCUGCCACUGAGUUAAACCUCAGGCCACUGCUGUUGUUUAAAUGAUCUGUCUUCUUAAAGGUUUAUCUUGAGAAUUUUCAUGGGUUGUUUUGCAUACUGGAGAUGCUACACCUGCUUUUGGCUUUUUAUAUUUUCCACUUGUUCUUUUAACUAUUGACUAUCUGGAAGACUCCCACCUCUUUUUUUCUUUUCCUUUUGUUCCAAGAAUGGUACUCCUAUUUUCAGUGACAGUUCCACCAAAUAUAUAAGCAGAUGUAUAAACAGAUGAAAUAGCCACACAGUUUAUUUGUGGCACUAAUUCUGCUUCACAACGUGCAGACCACUGAUGGUUCAACUUAAGGGUGCCAGUCCCGAUCAUUUAGACUACAGCCAUCAACUAUGGAUUCCUACUUACCCUUCCCUCCCACUAUAACUCUGUGCUGUGUGUGUGUGUGUGUGUGUGUGUGGUGUGUGCACGUGCACAUGGGUGUGUGCACACAGAGAGAUUUAGUCUUCAUUUCACAUAAAUGACUUACAGAAUUCACUGCCACUCCUCUUGCCCCAAAGUGUGUGCAGACUGUCAUUUAUCUGAAUUAUCACAGGCUGUAGAUAAUUCUUUUUAAAUCCAUUAUCGAUGCUCUUGCUAGGUCAACCCUGAAGAUGAAGUGAGCAAUGGUAGUUGAGGAAAUGGUUGGAGUUAUUUCCAGUAGCAGGAGCCAGGGGCAUCGUAGAGACACAUGGGCAUUGGUAGCAUGACUUGACCUAUUGGUAGUGCAAUAGCUAGGGUGAAUUUUAUCUUUGGCAAAAGAUACUCUUAAAAAAAAAAGUGAAUCUGCAUGUUGAUCCCUUAAUGGCAAAUGGGAUGUGACUUCUCUGUACUAGUGCUUCAGCUUUAUGUGGGGAAGUUACGAUUCUGCUGCAAGUACAAUCAACCCUUGAAGACCUAGGUGUUCAUUAUCCUGGGUGUAGCUCACCCGGAUUUUCCUCCUACAUCUUUUUGCUGAUUCCGCUGCACCUCAGCAACACAGUCAGAUGGGGGAAGGGGACCGGUGAAUUCUAAUGUCAUGCCUUCUUGUACCUGAUUCUCAAGUUUGGUCAUGGAAGAGGUUUAAUUAUCUGCUCAAGAAUGGGCUACAUGUAAAAACUAACCAUCACAGAAACCUCAGUCCAGUCCAGAACCCAUCAAUUUCCGCCCCCUUCUGGAAGGCUGACCCAGUGGCGGAGCCCCUGCUAUAACCUUUCCAAUAAUGCAGUGGCAGGUAAAAGCAUCCUAAUAAUCCACAGAAUAUCUAGACACUUGAAUUAGAAAUACAGAGCCACCCCCCUCCCAUCGCUUAAGCCAUAUUAUAGCUUCGUGUACUGAAAAGUCAGGGAUGUACUGUGAUACUUUAAGACCACUAAUCUCAGUGGAAUUUCAGGACAUAGCAUCAGUUGGUGAAUUAUACCAGACUAGAAGCUCACUCCUCCUUAGAUUGAAGUCCAAAUACAACCUGCACCUUUGGAUCAAAGGCCACAUAUCUGUGAUCAUCAUCAAUAACCAUUCUUGCCAUCUUCAUAAUAUGUCACUUCAUGCCAUCAUAUCUCUAGAAAUGCUUAAUAUAAUCCAAAAGAGCAAGAGGGGUACAGCCCUGAGUCCCCACUGAUGGCCUGACAUCUGUGGGGACCAGGGGCAUCAUAACCUCGUAAAUGAGGAGACGUGGAAAAUGUACAUGCAGGCCAGCUCUAAAGUGCUCAGUGCAAAUAGUUUUAUCAUUAAAGGUCGAGAAGGAGUAGCAUUAAAGAAAUGAUAAUUUUAAUAUAUUGGGGAUUUCCUCCUUAAAUUUUCCAUAAUUUCCUUGUGAAUAAAUCAUGAAAAAGAAGAAGACUAGUGAUACAAAAAUCAGAAUAAAUAAAAACUUAAGACUGGAUCCACAUCUUUGGCCAACUAAUAUAACCACUUUAUACCUCAGUUUCUCUGUACUUAUAAUGAAGACAAUAGUUACUAUUGCUAAGUACAAAGUAUUCAAUAGAGGAAAACAAUGAAACCAUUAUUGUCAUCGACAACAACCCAGCCUGACUCUAGCUAGUCCCCGAUUUGAUGUUGUAUUUGAAUGUAGUCAAUAGUUACCAAAAAGUAAUUAUUACAUAGCAAAUAAGUAGUGAAACUGGCAGGGAGAAAUAGCGCCUAGUUUCAGAACCACCCCUCUGCCUCCUCCAGAUUGUCACUUGAUAGACAGUGCACCCCCAAAUCAGAAUCAGUGUUUCAUCUCAGAACCAAGGAUUUUGCUACUACCAUCCAUCAUAAAAACCCAGCCGAGACACUAAUGAAGUCAUUGCACUACCAGUAGGUUGCUAUUCUUUUUUAAAAAUCACUGAAUUUAAAUCCUAAAAUUUGUCUCCAGUUUUACACAGUCAUUCUGCUUCCCUGAAGGUUGCUAGAAGCAGAUUAAGGAUCCGUUCGUGGUCAUCGGGCUGUCCCUGUUGGUUCCGCGGUGUUUGAUUUCAGUACCUUAGACAGCUAUCCGUGGCUUCCCGGCAGGCGUGGGGCAGCGCCUUCCCUCCCGCUGCAGUGUGCGGGCUUGAGGACGCCCUGGACACUAGCCCUUCCUUCCUUCCCCACUGCCGCCAGAGUCAACGUUUAGGAGAUCACUGGUACCACGAGGAAAGGAGCCUUACGGGGAGAGCUACGUCAACUUUCUGUCUGGGGUAGUGGGAAGCUCGUGCCAGGCUGCAUGAAUAGAAAUUAACACUUAACUCCUGUCAGGCGAGUAAUGCGUAGAUUUAUAUUGAGAUAGGCCACAGCUUAUUUAAGACGUACUCAGUGCAAGGGUAUAUAGAUACAUAUAGAUAGAGAAACAAUAUAACUGUGAUCUUUUUGUCUUACACCAUUACUGGAAACACCCAAACUCGAACUGGAGUUCCCUCUGAACAAAAACCAUUGUCAAAUCUUCAACGGAUGACCUCCAUACCUAGGUGCCAAGUGCCCCGUGACAGUGUUUACACACCUGGGAAUUGUAGUCUGGAAGCUGUAAUCUUGGGCCUGGACAAACAAAAGAGACGUCGUGACCAACCGAGCUGGUGGAGGAAAAGCACAAAACCCAAUACCAACCUGUACAGUUAGGAUCCCAAAGAGAUGCUGACAUUUCCGGCCAAAAACAAACAAAAAAACAAUAGUGACAAAUCAAAUCUGAUUGGAACCGCCAACAUCCAGGUUCUCGGAAGAAGGACAGGGAAUAAACGACAUUCUCUAGCUGUGUCCGUUUUUGAAUCCCAACCAGGACUGACCGACCUUCAUCAGACGUUUUUAACGGCGCAACAACUCGAUUUGGGUCCCAGACUCUCCAUUCUGCGCGGCCACAAGAGAACAACAAGAGAGCAUGACAGGAUGUUCAUGGAGGGGACAUUUCCAUGGCAAACUCAGAGACUGAAGUGUUUAUAUCCUGAAUCAGACGAGCUUCAAUAUGAAUUUGCAUCUUGCCUCUGUACUGCUUGCUAUUUUUUAAAUGAUAGGAGAAAGCAUAACAGUUUAUUUUAAAUAUGAAAUAUAUUGCUAUAUUAUAAAAUAUAUUGUAACUUUCAAUUAACAUUUUGUAUCAAACUAGUCUUUAGCAGGUCCAGUGUCAGCCUGCUCUCCCAACCACUGUUUCUGAGUACACAUCAUUGUUAGAGAUCGCCUGACUCCCAGGCCACAGGCCUGGUCCCACAACCUAUGAACUGCCAUAUUCUCAUUUUUCUAAGACCUAAAUAUUAGUGACAAAAAAAAAAUACUAUUACAAACUUAGAAGGAUGAUUCUACCCUAAAAUCUGUCAAGCCAUUUCAGAAGAGAUUUUAAAAGCCAUCACUCCUUUAAGUAACAGCACAGAGCCAGUUUAAUAAAAGUACAGAUUCUUUCUAUAGAAAUGCAAAGACCCCAUGCUAUAAAUUAGGUCUCCACUGCAGCCAACCCGUUUUCCUUUGGCCAUGUCAAAAUUGGGCACAAGGAAGAAUCCUGUUUUUCUUGUGACUCAAAAGACUCAAAAUUUCUAAGCAUUGUGAGUUGCUUAGUUGUGUGUGGGAAGAGUAAAAACGGGGUUUGAGUCCCCCCAGGCAGGGCCCAGGGAGAGCCCAUGCAGAUGUGCUUUUCUGAGUUGGCAAUUUCCUGAAGGGAGCGCGGUUUCCACGUGUCUGUCACCAACGUGGAGCCCGGCUCUUGUGGCAAGAAGAGGCAGGACACCCACAGGAGGAUCCAGCAAAGAGCUGGGCUCCCUGUUCUGCUCAUUUACCCUUAGCUGGAGGAAUCCUUUUCGGCUAAGAUGUUUUCUUUUAUGGCAAAAUUAAGCAACUCAUGAAAUCCACUCCCCUCCUGCAGCUGAGACACAUGUAGAAUCUCUCAGUUCCCUCUUUUGAAUGACCACGUUCCUAUUUCUAGAUGAAAACGGAUGUAUUCAGUUACAGAACAAAGAUUUCCUCAAAUCAGUGAGCCUCCUCCAGGUGAGGACCCUCCCUUUCAGUCACGGUUUCUGUUUAGUAUUGUAUAGGUGCAAACCAAAUAGCAUAAAGGUAGGUUUAACUUAGCUUGUGUGUCUCAACACAAACGUGGGAAAUUCAACAGCUAUCCAGAUAGUACCAAACAACAGGGUUUCUCCUUGGGUGGGGGUGUGGGGGACUGGAAUCCUCCCAACUUUCAGUGUGUUUGAACUUCAAUUCUCUUGUUCAUCUCACUAAAACCAAGGCUUGGGUCUCCAUGAUGUUAGUUAUUCAUGGAGCGUGAAAGCAAAAUCUCUAAAUGCCCAUUUCAAUCUGCUUGAGUAGUUGAGUCCCAUUUUGUACACAAGUUGUGUCUGUGUGGAGCUAAAUACACUCAGCGUCUGUGUCACUCCUCAGUUACACGCUAGGCUGAGUGCCAUUAAAGCCAUCAGAACUCUGGGGCACCUGCUUUAGUUUAUUUCCUCGCUGGGUAAUGGAAAUUAGCUAAUUCUCAACUUUAUCAUUGACUGAUGAAAUGCACUGAUGGUCAUCGAUUUGUUUCUUAAUACUUUUCUGCUGCUAAAUAGAACUAUCUCUUUUGGCUUUUCCUUCUAGCACUUCCCAGACUGACAAAGAUGUUUCCAUUUAUAGAGAACAAAUACAUUCUGACCUUUCCCAACAAAGUUGUUACUCAACGAAACCAACACAAAUUCCAGAGUUGGGGAAAGCAGAACUCUGGACUGUAAUUCAAGUGCAUGGCUAUAUGCUAAUCCUUGCUACUCUGGAGUGUGGCCCAUGGGUUAGCAGCAGUAGAAUCACCUGUAAGCUCUCUAGAAAUGCAGAAUCUCAAGCCUCACAUCAAACCUGCUUAAAUCGGCCUUUUCACAAGAUCCCCAGGUGAUCUGUAUGCACAGUAAACAUUGAGAAGGGCUAGCUUCACCCCACGGUAACAGACCAACCUCAUUAAUAAUUAGAGAAUGAAACCAUUUCUUUCCUGAGCUUCAUUUACCAGAUGACUUGGUGAUGUAAAACCCCUUUAUGAUCAUAAGGAUAAAGACAAAUGCAUCUUCAAAUUCCAUUUGAAGUCAUACAGCUUGGAUGGUGUACAUGAAACAGUAGAGUCAAUAAGAGGCGGUCUUUUUCUAGCCUAAUUUAAAGAGGGCUCACUUUAUAGCCUUGAGCAACUUCAAAGCCCCUUUUAAGCUUUUUUUUUUUUUUUUUUUUCAUUUUAGCUUGUGCUAGCAAGGCCAGGAGGAUAUGAGGUGGAGCCUCAGGGCAGGUCCCCUGAAACAGAAGGCCCCCUGGGUCUCUCCGCUAGCAUAGUGCAAAGGAAGCUGCCUUUUGUGAUCUCUGUGUUUCUUCUGAACUCUCCUCCUCUAGAGGAAACUAGCAAGGGAAAUCAGUUCAACCACUGGAAACAGUCCUAAUGUCUUCUAAAGCCAAUUCUCUUAUUUCAUUGCACCAACCAAGGUGGGGAGAGAAAGAUGGGAAUUCUGAUAUUGGCGCCAUAAAUUGAUAUGUACCCAGAAACAGUUAAUGUUCUAAAUUAAUGGCUUUAACCUGUUCAUUGUAAAAAGUGCCUUGGACUUCAAUCUAAAGAGGUCAGUAUAAAUAUGUAUGUGUGUGUGUGAUGUGUAUGUAGGCAAAUAUUUACAUAUUUAUACAUACAUAGGUGCACACACGUAUACCUGCACAUUCAUAUAUAAUAUAUAUAUAUAUAUAUACAUACAUAUAUAAAUGCUUCGUAAUAUAUCAUUGCUAUUCAUAGCUCCAUUUCUUGUCCGGUCCU